AGCCCCACCACCAAAGCAUUCUCUGGUGUUGAAGGCCCUGCAAAGCAGCAUCGCGGUGGCGGAGCGUCGUUUGCGACGCCCAACACACAAAACAAGCGGUGAAUGCUUUGGGGUGGGGUGACUGCGUACCUUUUGUAUAAUGGGUCAGCGACUUAUAUUCUGUAGCAAGGUUAACCGUAUAGGGGAGCCGGAGGGAAACCGAGUCUUAAUUGGGCGUUAAGUUGCAGGGUAUAGACCCGAAACCCGGUGAUCUAGCCAUGGGCAGGUUGAAGGUUGGGUAACACUAACUGGAGGACCGAACCGACUAAUGUUGAAAAAUUAGCGGAUGACCUGUGGCUGGGGGUGAAAGGCCAAUCAAACCGGGAGAUAGCUGGUUCUCCCCGAAAGCUAUUUAGGUAGCGCCUCGUGAAUUCAUCUCCGGGGGUAGAGCACUGUUUCGGCUAGGGGGCCAUCCCGGCUUACCAACCCGAUGCAAACUGCGAAUACCGGAGAAUGUUAUCACGGGAGACACACGGCGGGUGCUAACGUCCGUCGUGAAGAGGGAAACAACCCAGACCGCCAGCUAAGGUCCCAAAGUCAUGGUUAAGUGGGAAACGAUGUGGGAAGGCCCAGACAGCCAGGAUGUUGGCUUAGAAGCAGCCAUCAUUUAAAGAAAGCGUAAUAGCUCACUGGUCGAGUCGGCCUGCGCGGAAGAUGUAACGGGGCUAAACCAUGCACCGAAGCUGCGGCAGCGAACGUAUCACCCAAGACAACUUUACGGAGUUGACGAUUGACGGAGCGAAGCGACGUCAAAGCGUUCAUUAAAGUCGAGUUGGCUUAGGGAUACGUUCGUUGGGUAGGGGAGCGUUCUGUAAGCCUGUGAAGGUGUGUCGUGAGGCAUGCUGGAGGUAUCAGAAGUGCGAAUGCUGACAUAAGUAACGAUAAAGCGGGUGAAAAGCCCGCUCGCCGGAAGACCAAGGGUUCCUGUCCAACGUUAAUCGGGGCAGGGUGAGUCGACCCCUAAGGCGAGGCCGAAAGGCGUAGUCGAUGGGAAACGGGUUAAUAUUCCCGUACUUGGUGUUACUGCGAAGGGGGGACGGAGAAGGCUAUGUUGGCCGGGCGACGGUUGUCCCGGUUUAAGCGUGUAGGUGUGUGUUCCAGGUAAAUCCGGUU
Molecule: ribosomal RNA, 1152 nt
Filed under: Salmonella enterica subsp. enterica serovar Typhimurium
Lineage: Bacteria; Pseudomonadati; Pseudomonadota; Gammaproteobacteria; Enterobacterales; Enterobacteriaceae
Description: partial 23S ribosomal RNA
Rfam family: Bacterial large subunit ribosomal RNA
Source: RNAcentral